GGGGAUGAGUGGACGUGUCUGCGUUCCUCUGCUUUAUUUCGAAAACAAAACAGUGCAUCUAGGAAAUACCAUAAAUCAUCGUGCUGGAAUCAGUAGCAAGGCAUUUCCUUUUGAAACAUCGUCCUUGUCUCUAACUUUCCCGUGAUAGCUUGUUGAAUACCGUGUUCGUCUACUGAUCGACAUUAAAGGAGAAGAGAAAGAGGAAGACAAAAGUUAUAAUGACCAUGAGCACAAACCUUCUCGAGACCGAUGUAGUACUGUUUCACUAAGCUACGUUCAAAUGCUGGUACGGGGCUAGGGAAUAUGUCCCAUCAAAGGAUCCCAAAAUGAAACAGCUUCGGUAAGAGGAUUUAAUCGAUUGCGAUCGGAAAAGUUCAACGAAGGGACAUCCGAAGGUACACGCGGAUCGUGAAUCAAAGAAGAAUUUUUGCUCUAAUGAGGGAAUAUUCCUUUCUAGAAAAGAAGAUUUCUUAUCAAUAAUAGCGUUGACAGUGUUCUUGGAUAUCGAACUAUGUUUAUUUUGAUAGCAAUUAGUUAGAAAAUUAUGUUCACCGUAACGAUAUUUAUUUCAACGCCAUGGGUGAAAUUGGGAACGAUAAGGAAAAUCUUGGGCGAUUAAGAAUGAUUUCAGAAAGGAAGAUCUGCGAAUCGAUGUUGAAGAAGAAGAAGAGGAAGAAAAAAGAGAUACAGGAGAUGAAGGUGUCCAAGAGGAGUGUGUAGAUUAUUUGUCCACGCUCGCUCACGAUUUAAUCGAAGAUAGAUUUUAUCUCGACGAUGAUGAUUCCACAGAUAAAUUUAAUUCUAAUCGUAUAGAUGUUUGUCCUUGGCCGAACAUUGACUUUGUAAAUUCCGAUAUAAAUUGGAAAAUUUCUAACACGGUGUAUCGUGAGAACGAAGUUAAAUGGAUCAUCGAGACCUAUCGGGAAAAAUAAAAAUAAUAAGCAAAAAACAGAAAAUGACAUCGAGAAUAGAUACGAUUAUGAGAAUGGAAGGUUUAAUCAUGGAUUGAAGAAUGAGCGCUGGAAAAUAGAAAUGAAAUCAAGGUUCGUCGUCGCCGCCAAUAUAAACGUUUCAUCUUCUUCCUCCUCCUCAUACUGGUUAAUCUCGAUCACGUAAUGAAGACGGGAUGGAACACAAUACUAUGCAUCACGAAAAGACGAGGACGAUGUUUGAAAAGGAAACGC
Vespula vulgaris is the source of this 1184-nucleotide long non-coding RNA. RefSeq lists it as uncharacterized. NCBI's taxonomy places the organism in Eukaryota, Metazoa, Arthropoda, Insecta, Hymenoptera, Vespidae. The transcript has 3 exons. The record is from RefSeq and is a predicted model, not a curated record.